UGCCAGCAGCCGCGGUAAUACGGAGGGUGCAAGCGUUAAUCGGAAUUACUGGGCGUAAAGCGCGCGUAGGUGGUUUGAUAAGCGAGAUGUGAAAGCCCCGGGCUUAACCUGGGAACGGCAUUUCGAACUGUCAGGCUAGAGUAUGGUAGAGGGUAGUGGAAUUUCCUGUGUAGCGGUGAAAUGCGUAGAUAUAGGAAGGAACACCAGUGGCGAAGGCGGCUACCUGGGCCGAUAUUGACGCUGAGGCGCGAAGGCGUGGGUAGCGAACGGGAUUAGAUA
Molecule: ribosomal RNA, 279 nt
Filed under: uncultured bacterium
Lineage: Bacteria
Description: partial 16S ribosomal RNA
Rfam family: Bacterial small subunit ribosomal RNA
Source: RNAcentral